Long non-coding RNA from Meriones unguiculatus (Mongolian gerbil), 1617 nucleotides. RefSeq lists it as uncharacterized. The transcript has 4 exons. Lineage: Eukaryota; Metazoa; Chordata; Mammalia; Rodentia; Muridae. The record is from RefSeq and is a predicted model, not a curated record.
AGACACUGGGCAGAGAAUACAGUGGCAUAGAAAUGUUUGGAUGGGUGUCUGCGGCUCGUGGGCACGCUCUUGGCCUGUCCCAGCUCAUAGGUGCACAUGUGUCAGCUGGAAGGACCAAGUCCUGAAAUCCCACAUGCUCCAGAGAGUCCAGAAUUCAAAUCCGGGACCUUCGUCUGCCGAAUCCUAACCUGGGAGAAGACAAUUAGACCUAUCCUCAGCGAUUUCAGUCCUCUCUUUCAUCCCCUGGGCGGGGUUGCUGGAGACAUCGUUGAGUUUUGCUAUGAUCCACAUGGAUACAGAGGACCCUUCCACAAUCUUCUCUGAAGUCUGGAAGAUUCUCCCACUGUCGGCGGCACUGUUCCAUGGCUGGGAUCCUGGACUUCCUAAGUGUAGAAAUGCACUCAUGAUUGUGGAUGUGAGGUGGGCAGCUGCUUCAGGCUUCCGCCUUGACUUUCCUGCCAUGACGGACUGUGCCUUGAACUGUGGGCAGAAAUAAACUUCUCCCCCUCAAGAAAGAAAAUAAUUAUGGCAACAGGAAAAGAAACCAAGACAACCCAUCCUGAAUUUCUAUUCAUGCUUUAAAAUGUGGGGUUAUUUUUAAAAAUAUUAUAUUGCAGAAUAAAAUGCAUACAGAAAAUCACGUAAAACAAAUGCGUGGUUAACACAUUUCUUUUUUUCUUCCUCCAGCAAACACGAAUUCAAGAGAGAAAGCUUGCCUACUUAGGAGUGAGCCCUGCACAUCCCCCCCCCCCACACACACACUGCUUCACCCUCAUGCAAACGUCAGCCCGACUCCCAGUAUCUAAAAGCCUGGUUUUAUCAUUUAAAUGUGAAUUCCUGGACAUUACUGCUUAGUCCUGUAUGAUUUUUGAAAAUCUAACAUGUCUUUUCAGUUUCCUCCACCCUGUACAUUCUCCUCUCAUUUCUCUCCUCUCACGGCCAUUAUCUGCAGGGAAGCCUGGCGCCUCCGACUCAUAGCCUCCCUCCAGGCUGGAUGUUGCCGAUAGCAUUCUCUACACCCGCCUCUGCCCUUUAUGCCUUCCUGCACACGAGAGUCUGAGCCAGGGACCGAGUCAGGCCAAGCCUUAAGCCCUCUGUAAAGUCGUUAUUUGGUGUCUGGCCAGAAGUUGAGUGUAUCUCAUUUUGCCAUACAAAUAGCUCCGGGCUGUCAAUGCCUGCAGCCUCUCUGUCCCUCAGAGUUGCAAAGGAUGCCUUUCCAUUCUGCACUACUUUUUUUUUCUUUCUAUUUGUCAACUGGCUUUUCAAGAAUUUAAGGGGAAAGUCACCGCUUGCCCACUGUUUAGCUCUCCGAGAAGCGUCUCUCAUUUCUCCUUUGGUGGAAAGAAUUUUAUCUUUCCUUCCAGUGUGGGAGUACAGAUAGUGGAUUAUCUGUUCUCAUGUUUAUGAAAACAUUUUUAUUUGACCCUCAAUUUUAAAGGCAUUGUGUCUGGGUACCCAUGCCUAGGCUGAGAUUUAAAGAUGGCUCGUCUUUGUCUCCUGGCUUCAUUGUUCUUGGGGGCAAAUCAGCUGUGACUUUUGUCUUUGCCUUCUGUGGGAAACACUCAUCUUUCUGCCUUUUAACCAUGAGGCUUAGCGGCUUUAUUCCUGUGCCCUCUG